UACGUAGGGUGCGAGCGUUAAUCGGAAUUACUGGGCGUAAAGCGUGCGCAGGCGGUUCGUUGUGGCUGUGGUGAAAGCCCCGGGCUUAACCUGGGAAUGGCCAUGGAAACUGGCGAGCUGGAGUGUGGCAGAGGGGGGUGGAAUUCCGCGUGUAGCAGUGAAAUGCGUAGAGAUGUGGAGGAACACCGAUGGCGAAGGCAGCCCCCUGGGCUAACACUGACGCUCAUGCACGAAAGCGUGGGGAGCAAACAGG
This 253-nucleotide ribosomal RNA is filed under the name uncultured bacterium. RNAcentral's name for it is "partial 16S ribosomal RNA". It matches the Rfam family "Bacterial small subunit ribosomal RNA", at positions 524 to 776 of the family's 1533-position model. The record is from RNAcentral.